Molecule: RNA transcript, 1214 nt
Organism: Sitodiplosis mosellana (orange wheat blossom midge)
Lineage: Eukaryota; Metazoa; Arthropoda; Insecta; Diptera; Cecidomyiidae
Exons: 6
Source: RefSeq, a predicted model, not a curated record
GGAAAAUGUAAACAAUAUUAUGUUUCUGUGUUACAACGAUAGCCUAUAAAAUUCCAUGGAAACAUGAGAAAAGAGAUAAAAAUGUGUAUUCUAAAUAUAUUUGUGGCAAUUCAAUUAGGCGUACUUUGUUUUGUGUUGGCGAGAAAUUAUCCUAUUUACGAGAGUCCGUUUGCUAUCACAUGGUUCCUAUUCAAUUUACUCGUGGCACUAGCAUUAUGUCUAUUGACAUGCAUUCGAAGGGAGCCAACAAAUCGAAAGAAUAAAUUGUGGUACGAUGUCAUAGCGUUUGUGUUGUGCGAAGUAUGUGAUUUGUUAUCGGUUAUUAUGUUUUUGCGAGUGUGUCGAGACAUUCCAAUCGAUCGAUGGGUUCAUGCAUCGAAUUUCUUAUGGAUUUCCGUAGUUUCUUCUUUGAAAUUGAUGAGCAUGGUGAAUCACUUGAUGCUCAUUCAUUACACAAUUUUUGGGGCUUAACUCUAUAUUUUCUUUUCAAGACACAAGAGCAAUUAUUGCAACGGACUGCAACGCAUCGAGUAAUUUUAUAUAUUCUCUGUUGUACCAUUGGAUAUGCAUUACUCGUUAAGUCAUUCCUUAGCAUCUUUUAUGAAACGGACUUUUUAAUUAUUUUUUCCAUAAUUAUCAUUGCUAUGAAACACAAACACUAUUUAUCAAAAGGAAAUGAAUCCAAUGCAGAGAACUUUCUGAUCAAUCGAAUCAUGACUGCUUCCAAUCAAAAAAUGUACUGGGAAUCACUUUGCUUUCUUCCAUUCACGGUGCUCUUCCUAUUUAAAGAAUAUGCUCAUAGUAGAACUGAAACCGAAAGUAAAAUAUAUAGAGAGCAAAUCAAAAGGCAAACAGAAGAAUUCCUUCCCUAUAUCCUGGUCGUAGCUGUGGCGCUCGGUUUCUCAUUUGUGCGAGAUGCUUGGAUAAAAGAACGAAUUGACCCACACAGUCGGUGGAUUCAAGCUGAUGAAGAAGUGCAGAUCUAGUGAUAUUUUCGAAGCAGCCUAGGCAAAUAUUUGAUUAAACGAAGGUUAACAAACAAUGUUUCGUUUUGUGUUUUCAACAUUUCCUUCUAUAAGGGAAAUUAGAAUUUAUUCAUUUUUUCAUGUAGUAAUUUGACUCUUAUCUCGCAGGGAUGAAUUGAAGCACAAAUCUAAAUAGUUGAGGUGUAAUUGUUUGACAAAUGGAAAAAUGAUGGAAUAAAAGUGGAAGUG